UGGUCCUACGGGAGGCAGCAGUGGGGGAUAUUGCACAAUGGGGGAAACCCUGAUGCAGCGACGCCGCGUGAGUGAAGAAGUAUUUCGGUACGUAAAGCUCUAUCAGCAGGGAAGAAUAAUGACGGUACCUGACUAAGAAGCCCCGGCUAACUACGUGCCAGCAGCCGCGGUAAUACGUAGGUGGCAAGCGUUAUCCGGAUUUACUGGGUGUAAAGGGCGUGUAGGCGGGGAAGCAAGUCAGAUGCGAAAUUCCAGGGCUCAACCCUGGAACUGCAUUUGAAACUGUUUUUCUUGAGUGAUG
Molecule: ribosomal RNA, 301 nt
Filed under: uncultured bacterium
Lineage: Bacteria
Description: bacterial SSU rRNA
Rfam family: Bacterial small subunit ribosomal RNA
Source: RNAcentral